Molecule: non-coding RNA, 2436 nt
Organism: Camellia sinensis
Lineage: Eukaryota; Viridiplantae; Streptophyta; Magnoliopsida; Ericales; Theaceae
Source: RefSeq, a predicted model, not a curated record
UUCCCCACAAAAUAAAUCUUUGGCUUCUAAUUGGUUUUAAUUAGAAAGGGAACGUAGAAGGGAAAGGGUUUCAAUCUCUCUAAGAUUGAAUCAAUCUCUCUAGGGCUCAUCUUCUCUUCGGUUGUGUAUCUGAAAUUAGAGUUAUCUAUUUCUUCGACAUGGUGAUCUUCCUGUAAGGAGUCCUUGGAAGCAACAAUUGAGAGUGUAUUUCAUUGACUGGUAAGCAAGGAUGAUGCAUUGUAGAUGUAUAGUAGUAUGGUUACCCUUCAAACUAUGGACACCAUCUUCUACAAAGCACAAAGGCAAGGAAGAAUUUCCUUUUAUCUCAUUUUUUUGUACUCUCUGCUUUCUUAUUUGUUUGUCGUUUUGUCUUGACAUAGGGGUUGCACAUGAUUGACCUCAUGGAGUGUGCCAACCUAGUUAGGAUGCUUUAUGUUUUGACAGGAAGAGUGCACCUAGAUAAUAGAAAUGCAUCAAACCCUUAUCAUGAAUGUAGUGACUUUUACUUUAGAAUAAUUGCUGAAACAAAGGCACAGAUGGAUAAAAAUGAUCAAGGGAAGCUUCUUUUUCUUUUUUCUAUUUUCUUUUGUGUGUGCGUGUAUGGUUUUUUGUUUAUUGAAUUCCUUGAAGCAAUUUUACAACCAAUAGAAUUCAAAGCUACAUAACUCUAUAUAUAAUAUUUAUCAAAGUUAUUAUAUAUGUUUUGUCAUUAUUUGUUAAAGUGAUUUCAUAUUGCAUGUACUGUGGUAAUGAAUAACUAUUGUAGGCUUUCUUGUAUGAUACUCACCAUGCUAAUGCAUUCGUAAGGUUUGCAUACUUUGUUUCUAAACUUGGCAACUAAUCUAGUGGAAAAGUUAAUGCUGUAGAGUGGCUCUGUAUAAAUUUUUAUCAAUUUUUCUCUGGAUGGUCAUAGUGGUGGGUUUGGUCCAUUAGAGGGCAACAUGCUAUCAAAGCCUAGCUUCUCAUGAUUUUUCUGAAUGAAUGUUAGCUUUUUUAUUUACACCCACUGUUGUUUGUAAUGAAAGCAAAUAACUAGGAAUUUUUGUUUCUCUUGUCUUGAGCCUCAUUUUGCUUCCCAAUUAUGUUAACUAAUUUGGAAACAUUUACAUAGGAUUAGGAGGAGAUUGAUAGAUAAUAAUAUAAAGUGUCUUUCUUGCUAUGUGGAAAAGAGGCAACCUAUGAAAUUUUUGUAGAAGUUGGCAGUAGAGCUAUCCUCGGCAAAAAUUAGUGCUAAGUGCUAACUUUAUAAUUGUUAUUAUGAAGUAAUCAAAUCAAUUUAAUGCAUGCAGGUAUGAGCCACUAUCUUAUUUUGUUGGAAGGGAGUACUUUAUCCAUGUUUAUGAUCCAAUAUAUGCUCUCUCUACUGAUGUUGUUUCAAGCUUGGUUGCUCUAAGAAGGGAAGCUUCUGAAGACGAAAUCCAAGUUGCUCGGAAUUUUCUAAUGUAAAGAUAUGAGGGGCACAAGCUGAGUGUUGAUGCAAUUGAAUCAAUCCAUGAUGGUGCACUCACAAGAAGAUAUUUAGGUAAAUUUUGUAUUGUUUAGAACUUAAAGAUAGGGUUUUUUGUGUGUGUGUGCGCGUGCGCGCGUGUGGAUGAUUUAGAUCUUUUUGGACGGUUUUGAAGUUGAGGACAAUUUUUGAUGUUUAGAGACAUAGUUUUUGGAUGGUUUAGAAUGUACAGACGGUUUUCAGAUGUUUGAAACUUAUGAAUAAUUAUUUUGAUGUUUGAAAUAAUAUUUUGGUGGUUGAUUGAUUCUUGUUUGUAAUGUUUUUUAGAUUGUACAAAACAUGUGAAACAAAACUUGCUGAAUUAAAAAAAAAAAUUAAACAUAUUCUACCACUACAACAAAACUGAGCUUUUACGACUCCACAUUAACGACAUACAGUAAAUGCAAGUCGUGGUUUCUCAAUUUUACGACUUGCUUUUUUUGCAUGUUGUAAAUAAUUUCCCAACCACGACGUGUCUAUUGCGUAGGCCGUGAAUGCUAAUAAUGAUGAUUUUUUUACGACUUGCAAUAUUAGCUGUAAAUAAUAAAACUUUCUACGACGUGCUUUUGGCAUGCCGUUAAUACAUUAACUAUACAUGACACGCGUACGCCAGUCGUUAAAAAUAUUACACUUUUUACGGCGCACAAAAAGUCAACCGUUAAAAAGUACACUUUUCAUGAUGCACAUAUACUAGCCGUUAAAAAUAUUUUACUUUUCAUGACAUACAAUUUCUGUCGUGAAUAAUAUGAUCAAAAUAAAAAUAGGCGCCAAAAUAAAAAUUUUAAGCGCCAAAUACCAAAAAAAAAUUUAAAAAGAAAAAAAAAAUCAUAAAUUCUAACUCUUCAACCCCAAAACCAAAAACCUAACCUUCUAUUCAUCAUCAUCAAAAACCCCAAUAACUCUUCAAACCCAUACACGGUUACACUUCCUCUCUCUCCCCUCUGCCUCCG